Long non-coding RNA from Notothenia coriiceps (black rockcod), 516 nucleotides. RefSeq lists it as uncharacterized. The transcript has 3 exons. The record is from RefSeq and is a predicted model, not a curated record. Lineage: Eukaryota; Metazoa; Chordata; Actinopteri; Perciformes; Nototheniidae.
UCUUUCUGGGUCUCAGGAGGCUAUACAGAUCCAUGCUCAGGUCCAAAAUGUGACGGUGACAGGCGACAGCUUCUGUUAUGAAGUUUGUAUCUUCAGGCCGGACACUUUGUACAACAUCCGGCUCCGUCAUCGCUUCAGGGGCCCAGAGAGUCCCUGGAGCCCGUGGAGCAACACCUGCCUGGGGAGGACAGGAGAGGACGCUCCAUCUGCAGCACCAGCCUUCUGGAGGCAAGUGAGACAGACAGACAAGGAGGGUUGGAGGCUCAUCACACUGCUCUGGAAGCCUUUGCCUCGCCCUCUAGCAAAUGGCAGAGUCCUUUUCUACAACGUGACGUGUCAGACAGAGGGCUCUCACGUCCUGAAUGAUCACGGGAGCUGCAGAGAUUUGCACCUUACGAGUACUUCCUGUAGCUUGCUCCUUCCUGCUGGACGGUGCUCCUGCGCCCUGACGGCCUCCACCUCGGCAGGGGCCUCGUCCGAAGCCCGGAUAUGGUUCAGUGGAGCCUCUGAUACAGG